CUAGAUGGCUGACGAGUGGCGAACGGGUGAGUAACGCGUAGGGAUCUGCCCUGUAGUGGGGGACAACUCGAGGAAACUCGAGCUAAUACCGCAUAUGCUCUAUGGAGCAAAGCUGGGUUUCGGCCUGGCGCUAUAGGAGGAACCUGCGUUCGAUUAGCUUGUUGGUGGGGUAAAGGCCUACCAAGGCGACGAUCGAUAGCUGGUCUAAGAGGAUGAACAGCCACACUGGGACUGAGACACGGCCCAGACUCCUACGGGAGGCAGCAGUGGGGAAUAUUGGACAAUGGGGGAAACCCUGAUCCAGCAAUGCCGCGUGUGUGAAGAAGGCUUUCGGGUCGUAAAGCACUUUCGGUGGGGAGGAAAGGUAGAUGUUUAAGAGAUAUCUGCUGUGACGUUACCCGCAAAAGAAGCACCGGCUAACUCUGUGCCAGCAGCCGCGGUAAGACAGAGGGUGCGAGCGUUAAUCGGAAUUACUGGGCGUAAAGGGCGCGUAGGUGGAUGAAUAAGUCAGAGGUGAAAGGCCUGGGCUCAACCCAGGGAUUGCCUUUGAUACUGUUUAUCUAGAGUACGAUAGAGGGUGGUAGAAUUUCCGGUGUAGCGGUGAAAUGCGUAGAUAU
This 617-nucleotide ribosomal RNA is filed under the name uncultured bacterium. Its description in RNAcentral is "bacterial SSU rRNA". It matches the Rfam family "Bacterial small subunit ribosomal RNA", at positions 80 to 697 of the family's 1533-position model. The record is from RNAcentral.